Molecule: ribosomal RNA, 427 nt
Filed under: uncultured bacterium
Lineage: Bacteria
Description: partial 16S ribosomal RNA
Rfam family: Bacterial small subunit ribosomal RNA
Source: RNAcentral
UGGGGAAUAUUGCACAAUGGGCGCAAGCCUGAUGCAGCCAUGCCGCGUGUAUGAAGAAGGCCUUCGGGUUGUAAAGUACUUUCAGCGAGGAGGAAGGCAUUGUGGUUAAUAACCGCAGUGAUUGACGUUACUCGCAGAAGAAGCACCGGCUAACUCCGUGCCAGCAGCCGCGGUAAUACGGAGGGUGCAAGCGUUAAUCGGAAUUACUGGGCGUAAAGCGCACGCAGGCGGUCUGUCAAGGCGGAUGUGAAAUCCCCGGGCUCAACCUGGGAACUGCAUCCGAAACUGGCAGGCUAGAGUCUUGUAGAGGGGGGUAGAAUUCCAGGUGUAGCGGUGAAAUGCGUAGAGAUCUGGAGGAAUACCGGUGGCGAAGGCGGCCCCCUGGACAAAGACUGACGCUCAGGUGCGAAAGCGUGGGGAGCAAACA